RNAcentral lists this long non-coding RNA (911 nucleotides) under Linum usitatissimum (flax). RNAcentral describes it as "long non-coding RNA (LUSI_LNC005886)". The record is from RNAcentral. Lineage: Eukaryota; Viridiplantae; Streptophyta; Magnoliopsida; Malpighiales; Linaceae.
CAUAUCCUGCAUCCCUUCACUUCGUCAUCAUCAUCUUUGUCCAAGAGAUCAAUUCUUAGUCCUAUCUUCAGAUGGCCUAUAUCAGUAUCUCACAAAUCAAGAAGUGGUUUCUUUGGUCGAAAAUUUCAUGGAGAAGUAUCCAGACGGAGACCCUGCACAGAGUUUGAUAGAGGAACUUCUUUCUCGUGCAGCCAAGAAAGCAGGUAACUGAUAGACACACACAAACAUUCUCUUAUUUAAGCAUGCUCUUACAAGGUCUUUGCAUCAUGAUUCAUGAGAAUCUUUUAGGAUAUUGCUCUUAGAAAUGACGUCAAAGAACAUCUAGGUUAUUUAUCAGCAUUUGGCAGUGGGUCUUGCAGUAAAAAGGAAGACCAAAUUUCACUUUAGUAUUGUUUUAAGAAGUCCGUUAUUCAUGAAAGAAGAUUAAUUUUGCCGCUGGCUUGUAUUCUAAAUAUAACAAGUUGAUGGUGUUUACAGGGAUGGAUUUUCAUGAGUUACUGGACAUCCCACAAGGAGAUCGUCGAAAGUACCACGAUGAUGUUACAGUGAUGGUGAUCUCGCUAGAAGGACGAAUUUGGAAAUCAUCAGGAAAAUACCUCUAAAUCAGAAGAGCUGAAAGCCAGCAACAGCAGCAACCUUGAUAACAUAAUAGAAGGAAGGGAACAGUUUUUUUUAUUCUCAGCUUGCUUCCUGGCCGCAUGGUUACUGAAGAAGUGCAUCGAAGGGUGGGUGGUGUACAGAGAUGAAAAAGAGGGGUAUUAGCUAAGUCGGAGAGUUGGAUUUAGGUUUGCUCGUUAGGAAUUGGGGAGGAAAGAAGUUUUGUUUGGAUUUCAUGUCCAUUUUUUUUAAUUUAAAAUCCAUCUUCUUAGAUUAUCUUACUCCUCUUUCAUUAUAGGAUCCAUGGAAAGAGG